GUGUUGUGAAAUGUUGGGUUAAGUCCCGCAACGAGCGCAACCCUUAUCCUUUGUUGCCAGCGAUUAGGUCGGGAACUCAAAGGAGACUGCCAGUGAUAAACUGGAGGAAGGUGGGGAUGACGUCAAGUCAUCAUGGCCCUUACGACCAGGGCUACACACGUGCUACAAUGGCGCAUACAAAGAGAAGCGACCUCGCGAGAGCAAGCGGACCUCAUAAAGUGCGUCGUAGUCCGGAUUGGAGUCUGCAACUCGACUCCAUGAAGUCGGAAUCGCUAGUAAUCGUGGAUCAGAAUGCCACGGUGAAUACGUUCCCGGGCCUUGUACACACCGCCCGUCACACCAUGGGAGUGGGUUGCAAAAGAAGUAGGUAGCUUAACCUUCGGGAGGGCGCUUACCACUUUGUGAUUCAUGACUGGGGUGAAGUCGUAACAAGGUAACCGUAGGGGAACCUGCGGUUGGA
RNAcentral lists this ribosomal RNA (460 nucleotides) under Salmonella enterica subsp. enterica serovar Muenchen. RNAcentral's name for it is "partial 16S ribosomal RNA". It matches the Rfam family "Bacterial small subunit ribosomal RNA", at positions 1062 to 1522 of the family's 1533-position model. Lineage: Bacteria; Pseudomonadati; Pseudomonadota; Gammaproteobacteria; Enterobacterales; Enterobacteriaceae. The record is from RNAcentral. RNAcentral also lists the same sequence under 1 other name.